RNAcentral lists this ribosomal RNA (312 nucleotides) under uncultured Saprolegnia. RNAcentral describes it as "partial large subunit ribosomal RNA". It matches the Rfam family "Eukaryotic large subunit ribosomal RNA", at positions 40 to 350 of the family's 3401-position model. Lineage: Eukaryota; Oomycota; Saprolegniomycetes; Saprolegniales. The record is from RNAcentral.
AUAUAACUAAGCGGAGGAAAAGAAACUAACCAGGAUUUCCCUAGUAACGGCGAGUGAAGCGGGAAGAGCUCAAGCUUAAAAUCUCCACCUUGGUGGCGAAUUGUAGUCUAUUGAGGCUGUUGUCAGCAUAGCGACCUGGGACAAGUCCCUUGGAAGAGGGCAGCAUGGAGGGUGAUACUCCCGUCUUUGCUCAGGUUGUCUGUGUGUACGACACGCUUUCUUUGAGUCGAGUUGUUUGGGAAUACAGCUCAAAGUAGGUGGUAAAUUCCAUCUAAAGCUAAAUAUUGGUACGAGACCGAUAGCGCACAAGUA